CUCUGUAGUAACAAGAACUUCCCUUUCUUUCCAUGGUUUUAGCAAAUUGACAUGGUAUAAUUGCACUUCCUUUCUUCUACCUGGUUGCCUUACUUUAUAAUUUACCUCUCCCACUCUUUCAAUAAUCUCAUAUGGCCCAUGCCAAGUUGCCAGGAAUUUGUUCUCUACUGUGGGAACCAGGACUAAUACUCUGUCUCCUGGUUGAAAUACUCGAA
Molecule: non-coding RNA, 215 nt
Organism: Pelobates cultripes (western spadefoot toad)
Lineage: Eukaryota; Metazoa; Chordata; Amphibia; Anura; Pelobatidae
Source: the annotation of a GenBank genome assembly